RNAcentral lists this transfer RNA (69 nucleotides) under Haematoloechus sp. CW13H. RNAcentral describes it as "tRNA-Val". It matches the Rfam family "tRNA". Rfam says of the family: Transfer RNA (tRNA) molecules are approximately 80 nucleotides in length. Their secondary structure includes four short double-helical elements and three loops (D, anti-codon, and T loops). Further hydrogen bonds mediate the characteristic L-shaped molecular structure. tRNAs have two regions of fundamental functional importance: the anti-codon, which is responsible for specific mRNA codon recognition, and the 3' end, to which the tRNAs corresponding amino acid is attached (by aminoacyl-tRNA synthetases). tRNAs cope with the degeneracy of the genetic code in two manners: having more than one tRNA (with a specific anti-codon) for a particular amino acid; and 'wobble' base-pairing, i.e. permitting non-standard base-pairing at the 3rd anti-codon position. The record is from RNAcentral. Lineage: Eukaryota; Metazoa; Platyhelminthes; Trematoda; Plagiorchiida; Haematoloechidae.
UAGUGAGAUAGUUUAAUUUAGAAUAAUUAUUUUACACGUAUUAGGUAGAGUUUGUUCUCUUAUCACUAU